This 548-nucleotide ribosomal RNA is filed under the name uncultured Glomeromycotina. RNAcentral's name for it is "SSU rRNA". It matches the Rfam family "Eukaryotic small subunit ribosomal RNA", at positions 548 to 1098 of the family's 1831-position model. Lineage: Eukaryota; Fungi; Glomeromycota. The record is from RNAcentral.
UUGGAGGGCAAGUCUGGUGCCAGCAGCCGCGGUAAUUCCAGCUCCAAUAGCGUAUAUUAAAGUUGUUGCAGUUAAAAAGCUCGUAGUUGAAUUUCGAGAUCGGCUUACUGGUCGUGCUAUUGUACGUACUGGUAUAAUCGGUUUCUCCUUUCUGACGAACUAUAAUGCCAUUAAUUUGGUGUUUUAGGGAAUCAGGACUGUUACUUUGAAAAAAUUAGAGUGUUUAAAGCAGGCUCACGCUUGAAUACAUUAGCAUGGAAUAACGGAAUAGGACGUUUGAUUCUAUUUUGUUGGUUUCUAGGAUCGACGUAAUGAUUAAUAGGGAUAGUUGGGGGCAUUAGUAUUCAAUUGUCAGAGGUGAAAUUCUUGGAUUUAUUGAAGACUAACUACUGCGAAAGCAUUUGCCAAGGAUGUUUUCAUUAAUCAAGAACGAAAGUUAGGGGAUCGAAGACGAUCAGAUACCGUCGUAGUCUUAACCAUAAACUAUGCCGACUAGGGAUCGGAUGAUGUUAAUUUUUUAAUGACUCAUUCGGCGCCUUACGGGAAAC